Long non-coding RNA from Oryzias latipes (Japanese medaka), 736 nucleotides. RefSeq lists it as uncharacterized. NCBI's taxonomy places the organism in Eukaryota, Metazoa, Chordata, Actinopteri, Beloniformes, Adrianichthyidae. The record is from RefSeq and is a predicted model, not a curated record.
AAAAAAUGUUUUGAAGUUCAGCUGACCUUCAAAUCCUUUUGGGAAUGCGCUGUCCAAAAGUUUAACAUCCCAACCUUGGACUUGAAAGUGUUUUAUGACUCAAAGACAGAAGUUGAUGAGCAGGUUUUUGAUCUCCUGUUGAAAAACCCCAACCUUGGUGUGUUGGAAAUUUGUCUGGCCGAAGAUACAAAUCCAGAAGAUCAGCCGAGUUGUCCUGCAAAGAGCUGCAAUACCAGUUGAAGUGGAGAUACUGAAGUGGACUCAGAUGACACAAUAAUAUUACAACACAGUCCUACAACAAGACAAAGAGUUGAAGACACCUCUCUGGCCAAAGUGGUUGCUGUCAUUGGUGAGGAUGCAUCAUCCGUUGACGGUCAUGUGAAUGUCCUGCAUAUCCAGUACAGCAAGGUGCGAGAGGAUAUACUAAAGAAGUACCCUUUCUUGAAGACAACCUCAGGGUUGUUUGAUGAAGUUGACCGAAUGCAUCCAUCACCUGUCAGUUUAAGCCAGCGCUUCAAGGACGGCGUUUACCAGUAUUGUGCCAAAGGUGCUUGAGCUUGUUCAAAGAAAAGCUCCAUUAGCCAAAGUCUCCAAAGAAGCAAGAGAAGAGAUGCUUGCAGAGGAUCUACUAGGUAUUGACAUAAACGUAAUCCUUGGUAAUCUUUAGUGUGUUUUAUAGUUCUUCUUUUUAGAAUUCGUAUCAAUAUUAUCUUAUCACAUUUAUGCAUUUUAUUUA